RNAcentral lists this ribosomal RNA (506 nucleotides) under uncultured bacterium. RNAcentral's name for it is "partial 16S ribosomal RNA". It matches the Rfam family "Bacterial small subunit ribosomal RNA", at positions 30 to 523 of the family's 1533-position model. The record is from RNAcentral.
AUUGAACGCUGGCGGCAGGCCUAACACAUGCAAGUCGAACGGCAGCACAGAAGAGCUUGCUCUUUGGGUGGCGAGUGGCGGACGGGUGAGUAAUGUCUGGGAAACUGCCCGAUGGAGGGGGAUAACUACUGGAAACGGUAGCUAAUACCGCAUAACGUCGCGAGACCAAAGUGGGGGACCUUCGGGCCUCACACCAUCGGAUGUGCCCAGAUGGGAUUAGCUAGUAGGUGGGGUAAUGGCUCACCUAGGCGACGAUCCCUAGCUGGUCUGAGAGGAUGACCAGCCACACUGGAACUGAGACACGGUCCAGACUCCUACGGGAGGCAGCAGUGGGGAAUAUUGCACAAUGGGCGCAAGCCUGAUGCAGCCAUGCCGCGUGUAUGAAGAAGGCCUUCGGGUUGUAAAGUACUUUCAGCGGGGAGGAAGGCGGUGAGGUUAAUAACCUCGCCGAUUGACGUUACCCGCAGAAGAAGCACCGGCUAACUCCGUGCCAGCAGCCGCAGUAA